Molecule: ribosomal RNA, 233 nt
Filed under: uncultured bacterium
Lineage: Bacteria
Description: partial 16S ribosomal RNA
Rfam family: Bacterial small subunit ribosomal RNA
Source: RNAcentral
CGGACGGGUGAGUAACGCGUGGAUAACCUGCCUCACACUGGGGAUAACAGUUAGAAAUGGCUGCUAAUACCGCAUAAGCGCACAGUACCGCAUGGUACGGUGUGAAAAACCCAGGUGGUGUGAGAUGGAUCCGCGUCUGAUUAGCCAGUUGGCGGGUAACGGCCCACCAAAGCGACGAUCAGUAGCCGACCUGAGAGGGUGACCGGCCACAUUGGGACUGAGACACGGCCCAA